UACAGAGGGUGCAAGCGUUAAUCGGAAUUACUGGGCGUAAAGCGCACGUAGGUGGUUUGAUAAGUUGGAUGUGAAAUCCCCGAGCUUAACUUGGGAAUUGCAUUCAAGACUGUCCGACUAGAGUGUGGAAGAGGGAAGCGGAAUUCCAGGUGUAGCGGUGAAAUGCGUAGAUAUCUGGAGGAACAUCAGUGGCGAGGGCGGCUUCCUGGUCCAACACUGACACUGAGGUGCGAAAGCGUGGGGAGCAAACAGG
This 253-nucleotide ribosomal RNA is filed under the name uncultured bacterium. RNAcentral describes it as "partial 16S ribosomal RNA". It matches the Rfam family "Bacterial small subunit ribosomal RNA", at positions 524 to 776 of the family's 1533-position model. The record is from RNAcentral.